Molecule: ribosomal RNA, 435 nt
Filed under: uncultured bacterium
Lineage: Bacteria
Description: partial 16S ribosomal RNA
Rfam family: Bacterial small subunit ribosomal RNA
Source: RNAcentral
AGCGAACGCUGGCGGCAGGCUUAACACAUGCAAGUCGAGCGGGCAUAGCAAUAUGUCAGCGGCAGACGGGUGAGUAACGCGUGGGAACGUACCUUUUGGUUCGGAACAACUGAGGGAAACUUCAGCUAAUACCGGAUAAGCCCUUACGGGGAAAGAUUUAUCGCCGAAAGAUCGGCCCGCGUCUGAUUAGCUAGUUGGUGAGGUAAUGGCUCACCAAGGCGACGAUCAGUAGCUGGUCUGAGAGGAUGAUCAGCAACAUUGGGACUGAGACACGGCCCAAACUCCUACGGGAGGCAGAAGUGGGGAAUAUUGGACAAUGGGCGCAAGCCUGAUCCAGCCAUGCCGCGUGAGUGAUGAAGGCCCUAGGGUUGUAAAGCUCUUUUGUGCGGGAAGAUAAUGACGGUACCGAAAGAAUAAGCCCCGGCUAACUUCGUG